CUCAGUGCUGAGAGCAUUGUCCUACAUAUUUACAUAUUUACCUGUAGAGGAUAUUGAAACAUCUUGUAGUUACAGCUGUGAGCAGUAAUCAGAUGGAGUUCACCAAGUUGUGAUGGAAUAGAAGCCAACAUGUACAAGAAGUUCUAAAAAUGCUCACAGAAAUGGGAAUUCGAACAACUACAAUUGAAUGACAACCGGGAGACUCCAUCCGCUGAAGAAGAUCAUGUGAUAUGAUUUACAGUUCCAGUUAGUGGAUGGAUGUUCCACAAAUAUUUUUUAAAAUUGUUUUCAAGGAUGAAGUUGAAGAAUCUGUACUCCAGUAUAAAUCAGAGGUCAAAGGUCAAAAUCAAGAAUUUUCUCAUUCAUUCUCCCUGGGAACAUGGGAUUUUGAAAGAAGCUGUGAUGGAGAAUGUAAUUCGAUU
Molecule: long non-coding RNA, 422 nt
Organism: Dicentrarchus labrax (European seabass)
Lineage: Eukaryota; Metazoa; Chordata; Actinopteri; Moronidae
Exons: 3
Source: RefSeq, a predicted model, not a curated record